GUGAAUUUAGUUUAAAAGAAAAAACAAUUGACUUGCAAUCAACAACUCUAAGUUUAAGCCUUAGAAUUUACA
This 72-nucleotide transfer RNA is filed under the name Meridiastra fissura. RNAcentral describes it as "tRNA-Ala". It matches the Rfam family "tRNA". From Rfam's summary of the family: Transfer RNA (tRNA) molecules are approximately 80 nucleotides in length. Their secondary structure includes four short double-helical elements and three loops (D, anti-codon, and T loops). The record is from RNAcentral. Lineage: Eukaryota; Metazoa; Echinodermata; Asteroidea; Valvatida; Asterinidae.